GGUUCAGGAUGAACGCUAGCGGCAGGCUUAACACAUGCAAGUCGAGGGGCAUCGGGAGUAGCAAUACUUGCCGGCGACCGGCGCAAGGGUGCGUAACGCGUGAGCAACAUGCCCGUAUCAGGGGGGAUAAUCCAUGGAAACGUGGUCUAAUACCCCAUAGUAAUUAUGUAAGGCAUCUUAUAUAAUUUAAAGCUUUGGUGGAUACGGAUUGGCUCGCGUGACAUUAGCUGGAUGGUAAGGUAACGGCUUACCAUGGCUACGAUGUCUAGGGGUUCUGAGAGGAAGGUCCCCCACACUGGAACUGAGACACGGUCCAGACUCCUACGGGAGGCAGCAGUGAGGAAUAUUGGACAAUGGAUGGAAAUCUGAUCCAGCCAUGCCGCGUGCAGGAAGAACCGGCCCUAUGGGUUGUAAACUGCUUUUGUAUGGGAGCAAUAAGGGCUACGUGUAGUCCGAUGAGAGUACCAUACGAAUAAGCACCGGCUAACUCCGUGCCAGCAGCAGC
RNAcentral lists this ribosomal RNA (505 nucleotides) under uncultured bacterium. Its description in RNAcentral is "bacterial SSU rRNA". It matches the Rfam family "Bacterial small subunit ribosomal RNA", at positions 21 to 518 of the family's 1533-position model. The record is from RNAcentral.